Solanum tuberosum (potato) is the source of this 1721-nucleotide RNA transcript. RefSeq lists it as uncharacterized. NCBI's taxonomy places the organism in Eukaryota, Viridiplantae, Streptophyta, Magnoliopsida, Solanales, Solanaceae. The record is from RefSeq and is a predicted model, not a curated record. The transcript is spliced from 9 exons.
CGGAGUGAGACGAAGGGAGUAGUUGAUUGACUAUAGGAGAAAUGGAGCAAAGGGUUAAUUCAGAACCGCCGGCAGAAAACCAGAAGAAGAAAAAGAUGGCGGAAGAUGAAGGGAAAACAACUGCAGAAGGAGAAAAAAUUGAAGAGAUGAAGCCAUGGGAGCAGCAUUCUGCUGUGAUAAGCAUCCCUCGUUUCGAUUACAACGCUUCUUCUUCCUUACUCCGCCAUUCGCAUUCUGGGUUUCUCAUUACAUGCCCAAUCAAGAGGGAAAAAAGUGCAACGAAAGAAGCUAUAAGUAUCCUUGAAAAGUAUAUUCUUUCAAAUCAUGAUGCUAAGCGAAGGAAAACAUGCAUGGAUGAUGCUAAUGCAGAAUGUAAAGGAUCAAGAGAAGGUGCAGCUAAUGAACAUGUGAAUUUGGAAUCUGGUACUUCUAUGGAGAAAAGUGACAUUCUCUCACUCGUUAAGUUAACGAGAAGUGGAUUAGUUCUCUUUAAAUUUCCAUUCGACAAGUCUCCAGCAGUUGUUGACAUCGUUUCGCAAAUUUUUCAAUCCCUAGAAUCUGGAAUAUUGAAGUCUCCUCUUUGGUGCAAUCGGAUAUUACCAAUUCAAGGUACAUGCUGUUUAGAUGAGAAGGAACUUAAGAAGAUUGUGACAAAGCUUGUUGAGCAGUUUAUGAACAAUAGGCAGAAGGAGACAGGAAACACUGUUAAGUUUGCAGUUGGGUAUAACAGGAGAGGGAUUGAAGAAACCGAGAUGAAGAAUCUAAGAAACACUUCCAGUGAUCCUGAUAUAUUUGCUUUGUUGGAUCGCAACAAAUGCUUUAGUGUCGUAGCAGCAGCAGUGAAAGAAGUUGUCCCAGAUUCGAUAGUGGAUUUGAAAGAUCCAGAGAUCUGUGUGCUUGUUGAGGUACUUCCACUGUCUGGAGUACCAGAUAGGACAGCCAUAGUUGGUGUAUCAGUUCUUCCACGAGCACUUGUUACUACGAAGCCUCGACUCAGCAUCAAGGCCUUAGUCUCGGAUACAAAAGAAACGAAUAAGAAGAAAAGAUAAUGGUCUCUUCCAAGAACAGGAAGAGCAUAGGAUGCGCCUUGGACAGAAGGCUAUAUUUCAUCUUGAAGUGAGCUGAUCGGAGCAGAAGCCUGGGAAAACAUCACGCAUAAAGAAGCAGUUGAAUUAUUUAUUGUUUAGGUCGAUAAUCCAAGGAAAUGGGCGAUUGGCGAUGUAUACAAUGUUUUGUGUGAUAAGAAUGUGCCACCAAGGCUUAAAGGUAACAUUUAUAAAGCGAUUGUAAGACCAAUUAUGUUGUAUGAGACAUAGUGCUGGCCGGUCAAGAAUUCACGUGUCUAGAAGAUGCAAGUAGCGAAAAUGAGGAUGUUGAGAUGGAUGUGUGGGCAUACUAAGAGAGAUAUGAUUAGGAACCAAGAAAUUCCGGACGAGGUGAGAGCAUGUGAAGUGGAGAUGCACAGAUGACCUAGUGAGGAGAUGUGAGACGUUGGCUACGGUAGGUAUGAGGAUAGGUAGAGGUAGGCCUAAGAAGUAGUGCGGAGAGGUGAUUAGAUAGGAUUUGACACACGUGCAACUUACUAUGUACAUGAUCUUAGAUAAGAGGGUAUGGAGGUCGAGGAUUAGGGUAAAAGGUUGAUAGGUAGUCGAACGUUGACUAGUUUUCCGUGUUAGUAUUGUUCCAAUUAUUACUUUUCUACUAUCUUAUUCUUUGUUUUA